CUUGGAGAUAUUGUUGGUUCAGUUCCAGACUACCACAGUAAAGCAUAUAUUGCAAUAUAUCAAUGGCUGUUGAAUGCUCAGGAUGGAGGUCACUGAACAUUGGUGUGGCCCUGAUGAAUUCUUCAAAUAAGACAACAAUGAAGCUUGCUGCCUUGAGUGACUCUUCUUUUGAACACUUAGAGGACAUUGUAAGAGACCUCGCUAGUGGAAUGUCAAAGGCUGCAAUGGAUGACAUACAAGGACUUUUCCAGACUUCCUCCUCAAGCCUCCCUCAUCAUGGAUGUCCAGAAGUUGCCUAUAUAAGAGGUGAGGAAAUUGAGGCCCAGAGAUGUCUUUGAUCUCAAAGAUGACAAAAAUGAAGAGAGCUAGUAAGUGGGACUUACUGGACUACAACUCUAUUCCUUUGACCAAGUUCAAUGAUUUUUCCAUAAUAGAAAGUCAGAGAAUUCUUUUGACUACAUCUAAUGCUCUUUUUGCCUGCAUUUUGGAUUGUUCCAGGGUCACCUCUCAAAAGUAAUGAAGAAAAAAACCUUUGUUUUACCUUUUUAAGAAAAGAAGUAAAGUCAUUUACUUUGUAAACAAUGAAAGCUGAUUGAGUUUGUGCCGUCUAGGGCAGAAAGAACCACUGGAGCUCAGUGGUAACUAAGAAAUGCUGAGCUGGCACCGGGACCGAUUUAGAAACUCAUUCUCUAUCUGUUUGUGAUAAUUCAGGCCUGGCUU
Molecule: long non-coding RNA, 720 nt
Filed under: Monodelphis domestica (gray short-tailed opossum)
Lineage: Eukaryota; Metazoa; Chordata; Mammalia; Didelphimorphia; Didelphidae
Description: lncRNA (ENSMODG00000042192.1)
Source: RNAcentral